This 398-nucleotide unclassified non-coding RNA is filed under the name fungal sp. RNAcentral describes it as "partial internal transcribed spacer region". The stretch from base 1 to 46 matches the Rfam family "Eukaryotic small subunit ribosomal RNA", at positions 1786 to 1831 of the family's 1831-position model. Lineage: Eukaryota; Fungi. The record is from RNAcentral.
AAGUCGUAACAAGGUUUCCGUAGGUGAACCUGCGGAAGGAUCAUUAACACGUAUCCAACGUUAAACAACCCUGUGAACCUUCAUACGCGAGCUCUCCAACUGGCCGUGUCAAGCAAUUCCUGGUAACUCACGCAAUCAGAUUGAUUCAGGAACCUCUUGAUGCUUGUGACUCUUGGAUUUGAUGCGGUGUUCGUAACUCUAGACUUGGUUUUCGAAGGCAUUUCGGUGCUCAAGGAUAACUACCCUUGAUCGGGUAGAUCAUUCGGUCCUCACGGUCGGGUGAACAAGUCUCUGGGGUGAAAGUCCCCCAAUAUUCACUCCUAAUAAUUCAAUUCGGCGAUGCUUAGACGCUCGCACCAAAAACCGAACAACUGUUAACAAUGGAUAUCUUGGUUCUC